GUUCAGUUGGUAGAGUGUUUGCCUCACAUGCAUAAGGCCCUGGGUUCAAUCCCCAG
Molecule: transfer RNA, 56 nt
Filed under: Ictidomys tridecemlineatus (thirteen-lined ground squirrel)
Lineage: Eukaryota; Metazoa; Chordata; Mammalia; Rodentia; Sciuridae
Description: Spermophilus tridecemlineatus (thirteen-lined ground squirrel) tRNA
Rfam family: tRNA
About the family: Transfer RNA (tRNA) molecules are approximately 80 nucleotides in length. Their secondary structure includes four short double-helical elements and three loops (D, anti-codon, and T loops). Further hydrogen bonds mediate the characteristic L-shaped molecular structure. tRNAs have two regions of fundamental functional importance: the anti-codon, which is responsible for specific mRNA codon recognition, and the 3' end, to which the tRNAs corresponding amino acid is attached (by aminoacyl-tRNA synthetases). tRNAs cope with the degeneracy of the genetic code in two manners: having more than one tRNA (with a specific anti-codon) for a particular amino acid; and 'wobble' base-pairing, i.e. permitting non-standard base-pairing at the 3rd anti-codon position.
Source: Rfam by way of RNAcentral